AUUGAACGCUGGCGGCAGGCUUAACACAUGCAAGUCGAGCGGGGUGAGGUGCUUCGGUACUGAUCCUAGCGGCGGACGGGUGAGUAAUGCUUAGGAAUCUGCCAUUUAGUGGGGGACAACAUUCCGAAAGGAAUGCUAAUACCGCAUACGUCCUACGGGAGAAAGCAGGGGAUCUUCGGACCUUGCGCUAAAUGAUGAGCCUAAGUCGGAUUAGCUAGUUGGUGGGGUAAAGGCCUACCAAGGCGACGAUCUGUAGCGGGUCUGAGAGGAUGAUCCGCCACACUGGGACUGAGACACGGCCCAGACUCCUACGGGAGGCAGCAGUGGGGAAUAUUGGACGAUGGGCGGAAGCCUGAUCCAGCCAUGCCGCGUGUGUGAAGAAGGCCUUUUGGUUGUAAAGCACUUUAAGCGAGGAGGAGGCUACCUGGAUUAAUACUCUGGGAUAGUGGACGUUACUAGCAGAAUAAGCACCGGCUAACUCUGUGCCAGCCGCCGCAGUAA
RNAcentral lists this ribosomal RNA (501 nucleotides) under uncultured bacterium. RNAcentral's name for it is "partial 16S ribosomal RNA". It matches the Rfam family "Bacterial small subunit ribosomal RNA", at positions 30 to 523 of the family's 1533-position model. The record is from RNAcentral.